This 229-nucleotide ribosomal RNA is filed under the name uncultured bacterium. RNAcentral describes it as "partial 16S ribosomal RNA". It matches the Rfam family "Bacterial small subunit ribosomal RNA", at positions 568 to 796 of the family's 1533-position model. The record is from RNAcentral.
UGCGCAGGCGGGCUUGUAAGUCAGUGGUGAAAUUCUGCCGCUUAACGGUAGAACUGCCAUUGAUACUGCAAGUCUUGAAUAUGGUUGAGGUAGGCGGAAUGUGUUGUGUAGCGGUGAAAUGCAUAGAUAUGACACAGAACGCCGAUUGCGAAGGCAGCUUACUAAGCCAUUAUUGACGCUGAGGCACGAAAGCGUGGGGAGCGAACAGGAUUAGAUACCCUGGUAGUCC